GCGGCGUGCUAUACAUGCAAGUCGAACGAACUCUGGUAUUGAUUGGUGCUUGCAUCAUGAUUUACAUUUGAGUGAGUGGCGAACUGGUGAGUAACACGUGGGAAACCUGCCCAGAAGCGGGGGAUAACACCUGGAAACAGAUGCUAAUACCGCAUAACAACUUGGACCGCAUGGUCCGAGCUUGAAAGAUGGCUUCGGCUAUCACUUUUGGAUGGUCCCGCGGCGUAUUAGCUAGAUGGUGGGGUAACGGCUCACCAUGGCAAUGAUACGUAGCCGACCUGAGAGGGUAAUCGGCCACAUUGGGACUGAGACACGGCCCAAACUCCUACGGGAGGCAGCAGUAGGGAAUCUUCCACAAUGGACGAAAGUCUGAUGGAGCAACGCCGCGUGAGUGAAGAAGGGUUUCGGCUCGUAAAACUCUGUUGUUAAAGAAGAACAUAUCUGAGAGUAACUGUUCAGGUAUUGACGGUAUUUAACCAGAAAGCCACGGCUAACUACGUGCCAGCAGCCGCGGUAAUACGUAGGUGGCAAGCGUUGUCCGGAUUUAUUGGGCGUAAAGCGAGCGCAGGCGGUUUUUUAAGUCUGAUGUGAAAGCCUUCGGCUCAACCGAAGAAGUGCAUCGGAAACUGGGAAACUGAGUGCAGAAGAGACAG
This 653-nucleotide ribosomal RNA is filed under the name Lactiplantibacillus plantarum. RNAcentral's name for it is "bacterial SSU rRNA". It matches the Rfam family "Bacterial small subunit ribosomal RNA", at positions 39 to 660 of the family's 1533-position model. The record is from RNAcentral. Lineage: Bacteria; Bacillati; Bacillota; Bacilli; Lactobacillales; Lactobacillaceae.